CCAGACUCCUACGGGAGGCAGCAGUGGGGAAUAUUGCACAAUGGGGGAAACCCUGAUGCAGCGACGCCGCGUGAGGGAAGAAGGUUUUCGGAUUGUAAACCUCUGUCCUUGGUGACGAAAGAAGACGGUAGCCAAGGAGGAAGCCACGGCUAACUACGUGCCAGCAGCCGCGGUAAUACGUAGGGGGCGAGCGUUAUCCGGAUUCACUGGGUGUAAAGAGUUGCGUAGGUGGCAUAAUAAGUAGCUAGUGAAAUCUGGUGGCUCAACCAUUCAGACUAUUAGCUAAACUGUUAAGCUCGAGACCGUUAGGGGUAACUGGAAUUUCUAGUGUAGGAGUGAAAUCCGUAGAUAUUAGAAGGAACACCAAUAGCGUAGGCAGGUUGCUGGGACGGUUCUGACACUAAGGCACGAAAGCGUAGGGAGCAAACGGGAUUAGAUACCCGGGUA
Molecule: ribosomal RNA, 447 nt
Filed under: uncultured bacterium
Lineage: Bacteria
Description: bacterial SSU rRNA
Rfam family: Bacterial small subunit ribosomal RNA
Source: RNAcentral